CCUACGGGCGGCAGCAGUAGGGAAUAUUGCUCAAUGGGGGAAACCCUGAAGCAGCAACGCCGCGUGGAGGAUGAAGGUUUUCGGAUUGUAAACUCCUUUUGUUAGAGAAGAUAAUGACGGUACCUCUUGAAUAAGCCACGGCUAACUACGUGCCAGCAGCCGCGGUAAUACGUAGGUGGCAAGCGUUGUCCGGAUUUACUGGGUGUAAAGGGCGUGUAGCCGGGCUGACAAGUCAGAUGUGAAAUUCCGGGGCUCAACCCCGGACCUGCAUUUGAAACUGUUGGUCUUGAGUAUCGGAGAGGCAGGCGGAAUUCCUAGUGUAGCGGUGAAAUGCGUAGAUAUUAGGAGGAACACCAGUGGCGAAGGCGGCCUGCUGGACGACAACUGACGGUGAGGCGCGAAAGCGUGGGGAGCAAACAGGAUUAGAUACCCGGGUAGUC
RNAcentral lists this ribosomal RNA (440 nucleotides) under uncultured bacterium. Its description in RNAcentral is "partial 16S ribosomal RNA". It matches the Rfam family "Bacterial small subunit ribosomal RNA", at positions 338 to 795 of the family's 1533-position model. The record is from RNAcentral.